Molecule: long non-coding RNA, 907 nt
Organism: Brienomyrus brachyistius
Lineage: Eukaryota; Metazoa; Chordata; Actinopteri; Osteoglossiformes; Mormyridae
Exons: 3
Source: RefSeq, a predicted model, not a curated record
CUUCACCUCACCUCACUUGAACCCCAGGGCCCCAGCUAGGAGCAGCGGUUAAGACCGCCUCUCCCCAGGCUGAAAUCCCACCCCGCCGCGGCCAGCCCUCCUAUCCUCUCUCCGAGGCUCCUAGUUACGCAACUCCCGCCCCGCCUUCCGUCAUUUAUACUGAUGCACCAACAUGUCCGUCAGCCUUGGGAAGAAUACAUAACUCUGGACCUGUUUCAUCUGUUUCUCUCGCUCUCACUACAGUUAUUUUCAUAUUCCAAUUAAUAAGCCAUAUUAAAUGCCAGAGACUGCAAGUACUAUAUUACAAGCCCACACAGCAGAAUUGGCAGUGUUAAUCAUGCGCUAAGAGUGUUUAUUAAAUUUCCUGCAGUAUUACAGCAGGCACACGCUGCGUAAAUUGAGUCUUCCAUGCAAAUCAGGGACCUUUUUGCGAACCCGUCCACGGCAGGCGCAAUAAAAGUCACAUAAUCCCCCUGAAAUGUGGAAUGGAAGUUUUGAAAAUUCUCCACGGUUGAUGGAGCAGCAUGUUGCGGCCAGUUUAAUGGCCAUAAUCUGUGCUCUGCACCCUGCCCUGCUAUGUCAAUCCCAAACCGGCUACGGAACUUGGAGUCCGAGCUCCCCACAGUAGCUCCUCUUUAUACACAACUUAGUGUGUUCCGGAUUAUACAGAAGGCUUCGGGAAAGUGCCUGUCCAGUGCUCCUCUCACCCAGGACGGCUAAAGCAGCUACUCUCCUCCUCCUUUCUACUCUCCAGACAGAAGCUUCAUUAAAGGUCCACAAGACUGGGACUGUUUUUUUGGUUUGAACACAGUUGUGAUCCCACAAUGGUUAGGUUUAACCACGGAGAGUACAGAGUCUGCAUGUGUUUAUGAUUUGUUAGCAAGUAAAUAAACGGUAAGGACCACUG